GGGGGGGGGGGGGGGGGGGGGGGGGGGGGGGGGGGCGGGGGGGGGCGCGGGGGGGCGGGCGCGGGGGGGGGCGGGGGGCGGACGGGGGAGGAGUACAGCGGCAGCUGCCCAGUCGGGGGGGAUAACGUGGGGAAACUGACGCUAAUACCGCAUACGACCUUCGGGGGACAGCGGGGGAUCGCAAGACCUCUCGCGCGUGGAUGAGCCGAUGUCGGAUUAGCUAGUUGGCGGGGUAAUGGCCCACCAAGGCGACGAUCCGUAGCUGGUCUGAGAGGAUGAUCAGCCACACUGGAACUGAGACACGGUCCAGACUCCUACGGGAGGCAGCAGUGGGGAAUAUUGGACAAUGGGCGCAAGCCUGAUCCAGCCAUACCGCGUGGGUGAAGAAGGCCUUCGGGUUGUAAAGCCCUUUUGUUGGGAAAGAAAUCUUUCAGGCUAAUACCCUGGGAGGAUGACGGUACCCAAAGAAUAAGCACCGGCUAACUUCGUG
This 490-nucleotide ribosomal RNA is filed under the name uncultured bacterium. RNAcentral describes it as "partial 16S ribosomal RNA". It matches the Rfam family "Bacterial small subunit ribosomal RNA", at positions 39 to 507 of the family's 1533-position model. The record is from RNAcentral.